GAUGGCGCAUAGAGCUAUAGAACUUAUGGAUAUCUAAUGGAUAUCAUGUUCCGUGUGGGAUAAUUUCUUAUUUUUCCGGCAUCUAUCCCCCUUCUAGCGGAAGAUGUUGAUACAGAUACAGAGGCAGAAGUAUUAAAUGAAUUAAAUCUCCUCACAGAAAUUGAAGAAUCGCCACCUGGUUCUAUCCAUCUGGAAAUGAAUUCUUCAGAGGGAUUUAUUACAUAGAGGAUUACAUAGGGGAUUAUAACAAGAUCCAAGACGCCUAAAUAAUAAAGAAGGCGGUGACUCCACGCUGGAAUUAGGAGAAUUAGAACAAUUAUGUGUUAACAGAUGCAGUGAUGCAGAAAUAUUGUACAAUUUUGAAUGAAUACAGUUUGAUCUCUUUGAACAUUUCGAUAAUCUCUGCGAGCAUCACGGAUGUGAGAAGAUAUCUACAUUGGGCGACUGCUACUAUUGCGUGAGCGGAUGUCCUGAGCCGAGGCCUAAUCACACAAAGUGCUGCAUAGAAAUGGGUCUAGCUAUGAUCUAACAGCUAUGAUCGAAGCGAUCAAACAAUUCGACAUCGAAAGAAGGGAAGGUGUGAACAUGAGAAUAGGUGUGCAUACGGGCACUGUGCUCUGCGGAAUCGUGGGUAUAAAAAGAUUCAAGUUCAAUGUCUGAUCGAACGAUGUGACAUUGGCGAAUAAACUCGAGAGCGGGAAACGGGAAAACCCGGUCGUGUACACUUGAAUGAGAAUACUUUGAGAUUUCUGGACGACCAGUACAUUACGGAAGAAGGAGAACUAGUCAAUGGCAUUAAAACUUAUUUCAUCCGAACUUGCAAGUCGAACUUCAUGAAUCAAUUUAUCACGAACGUUACGUCACCGAAAAGUAUCUCACCGUUAAUGCAGUCACGUAGCCGUCUGGCGUCGUGCAAUACUCAGGUUAAGCCAUAUCAUCAUUAUCUCCACAUGGUCAUCAACACGAGCAACUACCGGAUGAAAGCCAAUUCCUUGCUGAGUAUCUUGGAUUCUGAGAAUAGUGGCGACACUAUGGACGAAAAAGAGGAUUCCAACAAGAGCCUGACGUCCACCGCUAGUUACGGCAAGAAGAAAGUAUGAAACAAACCGUGGAAGUACUUGCAGAGGCAACGAACGACCAAGGAGAUGACACCGCUGGAGAUAGAGGGGGGGAGAAACAUCGCCAUGGGACGAGCGAAACCUGAAGUCCAGGCGUAUGAGGAGUGCAAUAGAUUCCUCUUACCAAUGACGUCGAGAUGGAUCCGAAUCCUGUACCUUCUACUCUUAUUAUCUGGUCAAGAACCGAUUAAUCACGCUUCUUCCAUAUGCAGCAGGAAGGAUUCCGGCAUCAAGAGCAACAGCAAGCGAAGUAGUAUACAACAGCAGUUAUUCCUAAUAAACGGCAUGGCCCAAGGCGAUCUUUUAGGACACAGGAUCAGUGGCUAUUAUACUUCUAGUUGGACGUUAAAUUCUACUCACGAGCCUUCGUCGUCGAUACCUCCUUACCCGUUUCCACCGAUAGUGACGGGUACAUUCGGUGCAUGCUUUCAUAAACCGCGGCGCAUGCUUUCAUAAACUGCGAAAGCGAUCCGAUCUCCAGUUGAUUAGAUGUGUCUAAGACAACGUGAGCUCUCAACGUUCGUACUUCGUUAAGCCACCGCUGUCCAACGUUACUCUCUUUUUCAAGAACAAGGAGAUGGAGAAGGAGUACCGAGAGAAUGCGCACAAAGCUAGUGAAGGUAUUCGCGGCAAUCCGCUUACCCUGACUACUUCGAGGUUCAACAUGUAUUUUGAUAUUUUGAUAUCCGCUCUGAUCUACACAGCCAUCACGAUCUCUCUUUUCAUAUUAUAUAAAAAUAUAAGGGAAAAAACCCUCUCGAGAGAGAAAGAGCUCCAUAAUUUCCAUUCCCGGAUCCACUCUAUUAUGUUUAUAUAUGAGAAGAUAUAUUGAUACAUGGAAAUAUUCUUACAUCUUGUAAUUACAUGCACACAUGGCAAAAUAUGUUUUUGAGAAGAACAAAGGAAAAUAUAAUGAAAAAGAUAUGAAAAGAAGAGCAGAAAUGAAGAGAAAAAAGAAAAAGAGAAAAAACGUGAGGAGGAGGCAGAAGAACGUUUAGCCACUUUAUAUAAAAUUGGAGAUCGCUGUGAGGUAUCUGUUCUAAAUCAAUGAAAACGAAGAGCUACAAUUUUAUAUGUUGGUCAGUAAAAAAUUAUAUCUUUAUUAUGUUAACAAAUAGUGUGAACAAUAUCAUUAAAACGCAAGAUGAUAAUAAAAGUUACUUUAUUUGGUU
Molecule: long non-coding RNA, 2290 nt
Organism: Harpegnathos saltator (Jerdon's jumping ant)
Lineage: Eukaryota; Metazoa; Arthropoda; Insecta; Hymenoptera; Formicidae
Exons: 8
Source: RefSeq, a predicted model, not a curated record